This 756-nucleotide ribosomal RNA is filed under the name Triticum aestivum (bread wheat). RNAcentral's name for it is "partial small subunit ribosomal RNA". Lineage: Eukaryota; Viridiplantae; Streptophyta; Magnoliopsida; Poales; Poaceae. The record is from RNAcentral.
AUGCAAACAGAGCCAGAGAACAAAAUGCGACCUUCCGAGUCAGCCCCUGAGUUGCUGAUGAUGGCUGCUCGGGAGGGCAAUUCGGCAAGAUUGCGUGAUCUUCUGGGCAACCACGAUGCAACUGCGACUGCAGUUCAGCUCGUUGUGCCCAUGCCUGAAGUCAUCGUCAACAUUGAGGAAAACUCCCUCGCCAUCAGCAGGGUGGAGUCAAUUCUCCAUGUGGUUGCAGCUUCUGGAGACACUUCUGAGUUUCUGGAGAGCGCAAGUCUGAUCCACAGCAAGGCCAAGCACCUCCUAGGCACCGGCAAUAACAAGGGGGACACGCCCUUGCAUUGCGCAGCCGGAGCUGGGAGGAUCAAAAUGGUCUCUCACCUCAUCCAUCUGGCGAUGGCGGAUGGGGGUGGUGACGCGAGAGUGAAGGCAGUGCUGAGGAAGCAGAACAACAAAGGCCAGACAGCCCUCCAUGAGGUCCUUCGCUUGUCCGACAAGAAGAUGAUCAGGGGAAUGGUUGAGAAGCUAAUGGAGGUCGAUGCAGAAUUGGCUCGCCUCCCGAUUGCUAAUGGCACCUCGCCAUUGUACCUGGCUGUCUCGCUAGGACACGAUGAUAUUGCGGAGCUGCUGUAUUCUAAGGACAAGGCGUUGUCCUACUCUGGACCAGAUGGACAAAACGUCUUGCACGUUGCAGUUCUCAGGAGCCAAGGGAUCACAAAUAAGCUACUAGAAUGGAACAGGGACCUCAGCAAACAAGGUGACUGA